GUUUGAGCUUGAGUUUAGUUUUUCUAUUUCAAUUGCAGUCUUUUUUUGUUUUUCGGUGUCAUUGGCGUUUUACUUCUGGCUGGCAGUGGUUACCAUUUUUUUAUUAUGUUACAUCUUAAUUUUCGGAUUUCUUAUUACCUUUGUUUUUCAUAUUCCGUUUAGUUCUUAUCUUGUGUUUAGUUUUCCUAUAUUUUGUUGUUUUUUAAUUACAUUAGCUUUAAUCCAAGAUAUUAAUAUUUUUGGGCUUUUAGCAUUUUG
This 258-nucleotide long non-coding RNA is filed under the name Lathyrus oleraceus (garden pea). RNAcentral describes it as "Pisum sativum (pea) long non-coding RNA (PSAT_LNC032804)". Lineage: Eukaryota; Viridiplantae; Streptophyta; Magnoliopsida; Fabales; Fabaceae. The record is from RNAcentral.